GAAAGGAUGAUAUUUGAGCUAAGCCUUAGUGUGUAAGUAGCCUUUCACCAGGCAGAGAAUGCAGCAAAGGCCUUUCUAUAAAGAGGUGCCACCUUCAUAUAAAAUAAUAAUAGCGACUGACCAGAGAACUCCACAGCCCAUAUGCCCUCAGGCCGUCCAAUCUUAUGUAAUAUAGAAAUGAAGCAAAACUCCUCCCAGUGCUGCUGCAAGUCAAUUAGAAAUUGAGAAAUAUAAAACUGAAA
RNAcentral lists this long non-coding RNA (242 nucleotides) under Pan troglodytes (chimpanzee). Its description in RNAcentral is "long non-coding RNA NONPTRT017198". The record is from RNAcentral. Lineage: Eukaryota; Metazoa; Chordata; Mammalia; Primates; Hominidae.